GACGAACGCUGGCGGCGUGCUUAACACAUGCAAGUCGAACGGAAAGGCCCUGCUUUUGUGGGGUGCUCGAGUGGCGAACGGGUGAGUAACACGUGAGUAACCUGCCCUUGACUUUGGGAUAACUUCAGGAAACUGGGGCUAAUACCGGAUAGGAGCCCCUGCUGCAUGGUGGGGGUUGGAAAGUUUCGGCGGUUGGGGAUGGACUCGCGGCUUAUCAGCUUGUUGGUGGGGUAGUGGCUUACCAAGGCUUUGACGGGUAGCCGGCCUGAGAGGGUGACCGGCCACAUUGGGACUGAGAUACGGCCCAGACUCCUACGGGAGGCAGCUGUGGGGAAUAUUGCACAAUGGGCGGAAGCCUGAUGCAGCAACGCCGCGUGCGGGAUGACGGCCUUCGGGUUGUAAACCGCUUUCGCCUGUGACGAAGCGUGAGUGACGGUAAUGGGUAAAGAAGCACCGGCUAACUACGUG
Molecule: ribosomal RNA, 468 nt
Filed under: uncultured bacterium
Lineage: Bacteria
Description: partial 16S ribosomal RNA
Rfam family: Bacterial small subunit ribosomal RNA
Source: RNAcentral